Molecule: small RNA, 289 nt
Filed under: Mus musculus (house mouse)
Lineage: Eukaryota; Metazoa; Chordata; Mammalia; Rodentia; Muridae
Source: RNAcentral
ACAGAGAGGAGCAAAACUUAUCUGACCUACUUUCCCCGACCUGUGAAGUAGCUAAUAGUACAGAACAGAACACUCAGGAGCAUGCUCUAAAGAACGGUGACAUUUGUGAAACUCCAGAUAAGCCAAAAGGCACAGCCAGAAGAAAACCUGCCAAGAGGAAUAAAAGCCAAAAGAAGAAUGCCACAACUCCCUUGAAACAGUGGAAAGUUGGUGACAAGUGUUCUGCUGUUUGGUCAGAAGACGGCUGCAUUUACCCAGCUACUAUUACGUCCAUUGACUUUAAGAGAGA